Molecule: ribosomal RNA, 255 nt
Filed under: uncultured bacterium
Lineage: Bacteria
Description: partial 16S ribosomal RNA
Rfam family: Bacterial small subunit ribosomal RNA
Source: RNAcentral
UACGAAGGGGGGCUAGCGUUGCUCGGAAUCACUGGGCGUAAAGGGUGCGUAGGCGGGUCUUUAAGUCAGGGGUGAAAUCCUGGAGCUCAACUCCAGAACUGCCUUUGAUACUGAGGAUCUUGAGUCCGGGAGAGGUGAGUGGAACUGCGAGUGUAGAGGUGAAAUUCGUAGAUAUUCGCAAGAACACCAGUGGCGAAGGCGGCUCACUGGCCCGGUACUGACGCUGAGGCACGAAAGCGUGGGGGAGCAAACAGG